GCAGGGGUAGCCAAGCAUGGUCAACGGCGCAAGAUUCAGAGUCUUGUCCUGUAGAGGUCCGCGAGUUCAAAUCUCGUCCCCUGCACC
This 87-nucleotide transfer RNA is filed under the name uncultured archaeon. RNAcentral describes it as "tRNA-Ser(cag)". It matches the Rfam family "tRNA". Rfam says of the family: Transfer RNA (tRNA) molecules are approximately 80 nucleotides in length. The record is from RNAcentral.